UAUAUACAAAUAGACAAAAAAAAUAAACAGAUACUUUUUGUCACGUCACAAAUUCUAUAGAAUUUUUAUGUUUUUAAUGUCAUUUUUAAAAAUUAGAGUUAACUCAACAAGUAUUAAAAUAUUCGCUAACAAUAAACACUAAAAAAAUGUUACUUGACAUAGCAUAGAAGAUAAGUGACUUAUUCGAAAAUAUAAAGCAAAUUUCAAGACUUACUCCAGACAGUUGCUUUGCCUCUUUAAUAUGAAGUCCUCCAACUUCGACGGUUCCAGGUAAAUAUGGCCUCGUUAUCCCGACACUGAAAUGAGCAUUAACUAAAGUUAAAGAAACAUUUUUCAACAUAUCCUCCAUUGAAGGUCUAGUUUCCCAACCAGGAUAUUUGAAGAAAGUAUCCAUUAUAUCUUUAUACUUUGUAAACGACAUUUUUGGGGUUACACCUGCUCUAGCAUCAGGUAUGUAAGAGUACGUUGAAGGCUCACCUAUCCAUUUAGAAUUGCUUUGCCAUAGCAUCAAAACAUUUAAAUUUAUAAUAGAAUCAUCAUUUUGAAUAAACUCUUGAAGAACUGUACUUGAAAGAACAUUAUAAGCUCUUUUAACUGUAAAAUACCACGAUAACGGUAUGACAGUUAAAAAAUGUCUUCCAGUCAUAAUCAUUGGUGGAAUUGCUGAAAAUCAGGCUUAUCAAGUGGAAAAAAACUUAUGACAGUGACAUUAUAACCUCUAAAAGCCAAUUCUCGGAAAAGAGCUUGAAAACCACCAAAAUGGCUUUUAAUGGGCAAUGGUGCAAAAACAAGAAUAUUUUCUCCAUUUGUUGGUAGGUUG
Daktulosphaira vitifoliae (grape phylloxera) is the source of this 820-nucleotide long non-coding RNA. RefSeq lists it as uncharacterized. NCBI's taxonomy places the organism in Eukaryota, Metazoa, Arthropoda, Insecta, Hemiptera, Phylloxeridae. The record is from RefSeq and is a predicted model, not a curated record. The transcript has 6 exons.